This 76-nucleotide transfer RNA is filed under the name Escherichia coli. Its description in RNAcentral is "tRNA-Asn". It matches the Rfam family "tRNA". From Rfam's summary of the family: Transfer RNA (tRNA) molecules are approximately 80 nucleotides in length. Their secondary structure includes four short double-helical elements and three loops (D, anti-codon, and T loops). Further hydrogen bonds mediate the characteristic L-shaped molecular structure. tRNAs have two regions of fundamental functional importance: the anti-codon, which is responsible for specific mRNA codon recognition, and the 3' end, to which the tRNAs corresponding amino acid is attached (by aminoacyl-tRNA synthetases). tRNAs cope with the degeneracy of the genetic code in two manners: having more than one tRNA (with a specific anti-codon) for a particular amino acid; and 'wobble' base-pairing, i.e. permitting non-standard base-pairing at the 3rd anti-codon position. Lineage: Bacteria; Pseudomonadati; Pseudomonadota; Gammaproteobacteria; Enterobacterales; Enterobacteriaceae. The record is from RNAcentral. RNAcentral also lists the same sequence under 2 other names.
UCCUCUGUAGUUCAGUCGGUAGAACGGCGGACUGUUAAUCCGUAUGUCACUGGUUCGAGUCCAGACAGAGGAGCCA